CAAACAUGCAUCAUUACAGCCCUGUAUUGGAGUGUGUGAUUGUAUAUUGCUUGUGUAGAGUGUCAAGCGUGCGUGCUACACAUUGUGCCUGGAGAGAUUGAUGUUUUGUCAUCCACCUGCUUCUAAGCUGUAAAAGCAAGCGCAGCAAAGGCAAACCUACCCAGCUUCAAAAUCCAAACAAAGAAAUCUUAGUGGGCUGUUUACAUAUCUGUGCAAGGAUAUCUGUGCUUGUGUUGACGGGGUGCUAGAGUGGCUGAGAGAUCAGUCCCCGCACAAUGGACGAGUGGGAAAUCAAAGACUGGAAUGCUGGGAGAACGCUGGAGAAAUUGACGAAGGGGUGAGCUCUGGAAAGGAGGACAGAUACUUCCUGUUCCUUCUGGAGUGACCCGCAGGUCUGAGGAGGAGUGAGGGAGAGGAAGGUGGAGAAAUUCAUGGGUUGCAUAUUUCUGAAGAUGAGACCCUACUGCUGCAGAAGACUCGUCCACAUUCACGCAUCGACUACUUCUAACCUUCUUCUUUGAAAGUUAUUUAAAAAAUUCUUUCCAAGUACCCAGUGAAACCUGCUAAAGUACCCUCUGGUGUAAACAUACCCCUGGUUGGGAAUCAACGAUGUGAUGGACAAACAAGCACAAACUUGGCGAUAUCUGCAUCAAAUCUCCCAGGUGAGCAAUGGCUUGGACCUGCAGAGUUAGCUGGAUUUCUCGCUUCUCUUGGCUUUAGCCUGGAAAAGUGCUGAUCGUGGAAGGGGUGCUGGAGGAGCUCUCUCUUGGGCAGAUGGUGGGAAGACAGGGGGAGUAGUCACCCUGCUGCUUGGCCAACAGGGACACACACACAGACGCAUUCACAUACGGCACACCCACACAGGAAACAUUAGAACAACGAUUUGUCAUAGUCUUUCAUUUCGACGGAGGAGUUCUUUUGUUGUUGGAAAUAAGCCUUGUGAGUUUAUUAUUAUCUUCCUCUGAGUCAGUACGUUUAAGAGUUCAGCAGACACCUCUUAUGAUGGUGACAGGCCGUUCUUCUUUUUCUAACUGUCCACAAGCUAUUUGUGAAGAAUUUCUCUCGAACUAGCCAUUAAAGUUUUUUUUUUCUUUCUUCUUUUUUUCAACAGCUUUUAUGAUGCAAGGACAAAAGAAGCAAACACAUAUCUUGCAUAGCACGACUCAACGAUAUGUAUUGUUUUUAGUGAUAGACUGAUAUAGUUUCAAACAAUAUUUGGUAUUAUUGUAUUAUUGUUAUUAUAUUAUUACACAAGUAUACUAUUACAGCAGUAAUAUAUUAUGCCAAUUAACACACAACUGUACACACAACAAAUAAUUCACGCAAUUUGUUAAAAUGCUUGAAUUGAAAAUAUCUGGAAAUUUUACUGCUGAACUGUGACUCUGACAGCUACACUUUUGUUUGCAUAAAUGCAUAAAAGCUCAUGAACAUGAUGCGGAAAUAUGAAAUUGUUGGAACGUAAGCACUGGAAAGUGACAGUUCCAUCAACUGGCCCCAAAUUCUCUCACAUUAGCCUUUAUCCUCAUCAUUGAGCUCUGCCUAGAGAUAUCUGCUUAAAAUGUCCUUGACAACAAACGGUGAGGGAUGCAGAUUGUGGCUGUCUUGUCUGUUAGACUGGUGGUAUCAGGAGGGGCGUCUUCAGAUUUGAGAUCCCUGUAGCUAAGCUUAUGCGUUUGACUCAGUUCCACGUAACCAAACAUGCUGUUCGACACUAUCCAUCCGCUCCCAUAU
This is a long non-coding RNA of Cyprinus carpio carpio, 1731 nucleotides long. NCBI's taxonomy places the organism in Eukaryota, Metazoa, Chordata, Actinopteri, Cypriniformes, Cyprinidae. The record is from Ensembl.